AAAAGCAAGACGAAGCAAGAUUCUGGUGACUCUACCACUGCUUCUACAAAGUGUCCCUUUGGGUAUGAUUCACAAUCGGCGAGCAAGACAAAGAAGGAUGCCGGCCGCCUUGCCACUGCUUCUCAGAAGUUAUGCCCCUUUUAAUAUGAUUUCCAAACAUUUAAGCUAGGCCCUCCCGCUGUUUAGUUUGCCAAACGCUUCUUUUUGAAAGUAGCAAAUGCCUGUCAUGUUUUCUUGUAUAUUGCAAGUAAGCUAAAUAUGGAAGUUCCUGUUUCACAAUUCUUUCCCCUGAGGGAUCCUCGUGUCAAAAUUCUAAUUUUUUACCUCGUUCCAAUUUUUAAAAUCUUUACCGAAAUCUAAGCGUGAGUUCCUGUUUCUACAUUUCUUCCCCCUGAUGGAUCCUUAUGUCAAAAUUCUAUUUUUUUUUUCUCGUUCCGAUCUCAAUUUUUAAAGUCUUUACUGAAAUCAGAGCAUCUAUAUCACGCUUUAAGUACUGUUCACUGUCUGGAGCUAAUGUUGAGAAGAUAGAAGCUGAUUCAAAUCUUCAGGGCAUGGUUGAUCGCUUCAUUGAAGGUCAUCCUAUAAUCAAAAGGUCUCAUGCUAAUUAUACAGACAAAGAGGAAGUAGUAGAUAUUCACUGAUUUGAAAGCUCAGAUUUUGGCUUCAUAGGCCUACCUUAUUUUUCAACUUUCGGACAAUCUGCCCCUUUUGUCAAAGCUGUUCGUCUCGACGACACCACCUCAAAAAAAGCAAGACGAAGCAAGAUUCUGGUGCACUCUACCACUGCUUCUACAAAGUGUCCCUUUGGGUAUGAUUCACAAUCGGCGCGCAAGACAAAGAAGGAUGCCGGCCGCCUUGCCGCUGCUUCUCCGAAGUUAUGCCCCUUUUAAUAUGAUUUCCAAACACUUAAGCUAGGCCCCCUCGCUGUUUAGUUUGCCAAACACUUCUUUUUUAAAGUAGCAAAUGCCUGUUAUGUUUUA
Carya illinoinensis is the source of this 980-nucleotide long non-coding RNA. RefSeq lists it as uncharacterized. The record is from RefSeq and is a predicted model, not a curated record. The transcript is spliced from 3 exons. NCBI's taxonomy places the organism in Eukaryota, Viridiplantae, Streptophyta, Magnoliopsida, Fagales, Juglandaceae.